Cyprinus carpio carpio is the source of this 1371-nucleotide long non-coding RNA. Lineage: Eukaryota; Metazoa; Chordata; Actinopteri; Cypriniformes; Cyprinidae. The record is from Ensembl.
ACAAACAUAAGAUGUACAUAUGAAAGAACAGAAUUUGCUGAAGGGGAAAAGUGUUCUCAUGAUUGCCAUUAACACAGCUUUUGUUCCGUGAGUUUUUAUUGUUUAAACAUAGCACUAUAUCAGACAGGGACACCCAAUUGUGGAAACAUAACACAUGGUCCUUUGUGUACAUUAAAAUAAUCACUUAUCAAGAACCUGCACAAUAAAACAGGCACGUCACAAAGGCUCUUUAUUAUUUCCUUUUAUGACAAUUUAAAGACCUUUGAGCUCAUGGCUGACAAAAGCACAUAAGACUGCAGAUCUACAUGCCCUGUUUUACAAUAGAUAAUGUUGUGUAUAUAGUACACCUGUGUGUGCUUGCGUGAAGUUUCAAUCCCUGAUUCGCCUGAUUUAAUGUCUCUUUAAUGUUUCUUUCUUUAUGAGUUUUUAAAAUGGGUCAAAGAAAGAUAUUCAUUGACGAAAAUAUCGAUGGGAAUUCAGCUCUUGACACAUGAUUUUAAAACCCCCACUUCUUUUAAUUUGACGUUUGAAAAACAACAUUCAUGCUAUAGACGCCAAUAGUGUGUCCAUCUAACGCAGGUGUAAAAACAAUGACAAACAACAAAGUGCAAUGCAAAACGUGUUCUAUAUAGGAACUAGAGGCUUCCUUAUAUGGAGACAUGACGUUCAAGACUGUGCAUCUGGGUGUGAGACCCUUGUUGACUUCACUCAGGCAGAUCAGUUUGCUGUGAAGCCCGGGGACUUCAUGGAAACCAAGGAAACGUUAGGGGCAAAUCAAGAGGCUACCCUUACAGCCAAGGAAUCUCCAAAAAUAUCCUGACAUUCUUGAUGUCUUGGCCUUGUUUGAGCAGUGUAUGACUUAAAAUGCACUUGUUUUGGUUUGCACUACAUCUCAGUCACAUUUGGAGGCUCUGGGAGCGUCGGAAGGCUGCAAUGUUUAUUGCAUUUCCAGCUGCCCGUUUGCUUUGUACGUGUUGGACAGCACUGAGCUUUGUCCGUUUCCCGAAAAUUAUGCUGAAUCAAUGCAUUAGCUCAUUGCCAAAUAGAUGAAGUCAGAUUUUUCCCACUGAUGUGGUGCUAGGAGGUGAUUAGGCGUGAGCCAAAACAUUAGUGUUAUCAUUAUCAAUUCAAAUCCAGCAUUCACCAGGGAUAAAAAAAAAAAAAACUAUUUACAUGCACUAUUUGCAUGUAUCAUUCUGCACUUGGAUUUUCACACAAACAUGAAUCAAGAAAAGGGGGCAUAGGUCAGGAAUUUAGAAAAGUGUUGUUGAUGUACUCCUGCAUGUUAUGUGGGUGACAAGUGUUAAAUGCGUCAAAAGCGCAUGCAUGUUACUGUACUUCCCCCGUCAGGCUGCAUGUGGCGACGUGUUC